UGGGGAAUAUUCACAAUGGGCGCAAGCCUGAUGCAGCCAUGCCGCGUGUAUGAAGAAGGCCUUCGGGUUGUAAAGUACUUUCAGCGGGGAGGAAGGGAGUAAAGUUAAUACCUUUGCUCAUUGACGUUACCCGCAGAAGAAGCACCGGCUAACUCCGUGCCAGCAGCCGCGGUAAUACGGAGGGUGCAAGCGUUAAUCGGAAUUACUGGGCGUAAAGCGCACGCAGGCGGUUUGUUAAGUCAGAUGUGAAAUCCCCGGGCUCAACCUGGGAACUGCAUCUGAUACUGGCAAGCUUGAGUCUCGUAGAGGGGGGUAGAAUUCCAGGUGUAGCGGUGAAAUGCGUAGAGAUCUGGAGGAAUACCGGUGGCGAAGGCGGCCCCCUGGACGAAGACUGACGCUCAGGUGCGAAAGCGUGGGGAGCAAACAGG
RNAcentral lists this ribosomal RNA (428 nucleotides) under Chloroflexota bacterium. Its description in RNAcentral is "Chloroflexi bacterium partial 16S ribosomal RNA". It matches the Rfam family "Bacterial small subunit ribosomal RNA", at positions 355 to 776 of the family's 1533-position model. The record is from RNAcentral. Lineage: Bacteria; Bacillati; Chloroflexota.